AUUGAACGCUGGCGGCAGGCCUAACACAUGCAAGUCGAACGAGUGGCGGACGGGUGAGUAAUGUCUGGGAAACUGCCCGAUGGAGGGGGAUAACUACUGGAAACGGUAGCUAAUACCGCAUACCAUCGGAUGUGCCCAGAUGGGAUUAGCUAGUAGGUGGGGUAACGGCUCACCUAGGCGACGAUCCCUAGCUGGUCCGAGAGGAUGACCAGCCUCCUUGGGACUGCGAGACGGCCCAGUCUCCUACGGGGGGCAGCAGUGGGGAGUAUUACACAAUGGUGGAAACCCUGAUGAAGCAACGCUGCGUGCGGGAUGACGGGUUUCGGGUUGUAAACCGCUUUCAGCCAUGACGCGGUAGUGGCAGAAGAAGCACCGGCUAACUACGUGCCAGCAGCCGCGGUAAUUC
Molecule: ribosomal RNA, 406 nt
Filed under: uncultured bacterium
Lineage: Bacteria
Description: partial 16S ribosomal RNA
Rfam family: Bacterial small subunit ribosomal RNA
Source: RNAcentral